AAAUUUAAUUUAAUUCAAGUUAUUUACAAAAUAAAAGUAAUACAUUAACAAAAUUAAUACCUAACCAUGGCCUACAAAAUCAAUACAACUUUAUUAUUAACUAUUUUAGUUUUAAUCGGUUUGAGCACUGUUAGCCUAAACAACUGGGUAGACGCUGCUGCUGCCGGUGCUGCCGGUGCUGAACACAACAACAACAACAAUGCUAAUGUUGCCAAACGGUCGAUACCAAACAACCUACAGGUGCCCGAAUCGAUGUCAUCAUUGGGUGAUUUGUUGAAAAAACUGCUAUCAAUACCAAUUGUAUUACCUAUAGGUCUAUUAUUUUUAUCAAUGUUGGUGCCGUUUGUAGGCAUACUAACUUUCCCUAUACUAAUACUAUUGUUACCGUUUGCAUGGGUUAUUAUGAACUUUCUAAACAAUUU
Oppia nitens is the source of this 422-nucleotide long non-coding RNA. RefSeq lists it as uncharacterized. The record is from RefSeq and is a predicted model, not a curated record. The transcript has 3 exons. Lineage: Eukaryota; Metazoa; Arthropoda; Arachnida; Sarcoptiformes; Oppiidae.